CAUGGUUAACGUGAAGAGUGUUGGUUCUGAAUUUUGUGGCAGUAAUUGUUUCGCACAAUGUUUUAGAUCCUUAGAGACUUUGCAUUUCUAUGACAAGGAGGAGUGGAAGAAUUGGAGUCCUAAUGCAUUUUGCAAUACGGGAUUGUACAAUAAUUUUUUCAUUUCCCAAAUAAGGUUUUCCCACAAACCUAACAAGACUUGAAAUCACUAAAGCCUUGUACGAUUGGGGGUUGCACAACUUCACUUACCUAAAUCGACUUGACAUUGGUGGAUGUCAGAAUCUGGUGUCCUUUCCAGAGAUGAACUUGCCUGCCUCUCUAACAAGCCUCCGCAUCUUAGAAUUCUCGAAUCUGGAAUGCCUGUCCUCCGUGGGCUUAAGAAAACUCACCUCUCUUAAAACACUCGAGAUUUCUUUAUGCGAGAAGCUCACGUGUUUUCCAGAGGAUGGCCUACAUCCCUCACUCCUAGAGCUUGAUAUCUCUUCUUUCCAAAAAUUGAUGUCCUUACCUGAGAAUGGCCUACCUCCCUCACUACAGAAACUUGCAAUCCGUGGAUGUCCUCUGUUGGAAGAACGCUGCAAAAAAUAUCAGAGCGGAGAGCGGCGCAUGAUAGCUGACAUCCCUUUUGUUCAAAUUAUGUGACAGAAACAGAGGAAUAAAUCCAAAGUUAAGUUUGUACUAGCUCUGAUCCAAAUUUCCUUUGAAUGUUGAAAGGUGGCAUUGGAGAGAUCCCGUCACUCCUAUUGCAUGCUGCGACUCUGGUUGAUCGUCGAUUGCAUGACAUGGGUAAAGAUGAAGAAGGAUGUUUUUACAUCCAUAUAAAUACAGAAAUCGCUUGCAGAUGAUUCAAAAGACUGAUGCAAGUUGUUGCAACUUCCGACUGCUAUCUGAAAAAUGGAUGUGCAAGUUGAAAGGGGAGAAGAAGUUGUAAACCAAGCAGCAAUGGAUGCCAUUUCUCAUAGCAAAUAAUUUGCUCUAAUUCUCAGUGAGGUGGGCCGAGCGCACAAACAUUAGAUUGCGCUAAUCUUCAAACCCAAUAUAUUUGCUGUCCUCACAAUGGCUGGAUCAGGGAAUCUUCUCUGCCUCAACAUACUCUUCUAAAAUUGCAGCAGCAAGUUGUUGGCAUGCCAUGUCUUUCUUCGUGUUUUUGCUAUUCGUAUCCACCUAAUCAAUGUCUGGCUACAAGCGAACCUAUCUCGUGGUAUUGUUUUCGAGUCCCAAUGUUUAUAAGAGCUGUCAAGAUGGUGCUGGUAAGUUUGUAAUGAAUCAAAGUAAUCCCAUUUUUAUGAUUCAAACACUAAGAAAGUGAACAAAAUCUUGUUUAUGGCAGCUAUGCUUGACCCGCAUCACUACAAGAAAAAGUGC
Long non-coding RNA from Carya illinoinensis, 1364 nucleotides. RefSeq lists it as uncharacterized. Lineage: Eukaryota; Viridiplantae; Streptophyta; Magnoliopsida; Fagales; Juglandaceae. The transcript is spliced from 4 exons. The record is from RefSeq and is a predicted model, not a curated record.